GUGGGGAAUAUUGCACAAUGGGCGGAAGCCUGAUGCAGCGACGCCGCGUGGGGGAUGAAGGCCUUCGGGUUGUAAACUCCUUUCGACAGGGACGAAGCUUUUGUGACGGUACCUGUAUAAGAAGCACCGGCUAACUACGUGCCAGCAGCCGCGGUAAUACGUAGGGUGCGAGCGUUGUCCGGAAUUACUGGGCGUAAAGAGCUCGUAGGUGGUUUGUCGCGUCGUCUGUGAAAUUCCGGGGCUUAACUCCGGGCGUGCAGGCGAUACGGGCUGACUUGAGUGCUGUAGGGGAGACUGGAAUUCCUGGUGUAGCGGUGAAAUGCGCAGAUAUCAGGAGGAACACCGAUGGCGAAGGCAGGUCUCUGGGCAGUAACUGACGCUGAGGAGCGAAAGCAUGGGUAGCGAACAGGAUUAGAAACCCCAGUAGUCC
RNAcentral lists this ribosomal RNA (430 nucleotides) under uncultured Corynebacteriaceae bacterium. RNAcentral's name for it is "bacterial SSU rRNA". It matches the Rfam family "Bacterial small subunit ribosomal RNA", at positions 354 to 796 of the family's 1533-position model. The record is from RNAcentral. Lineage: Bacteria; Bacillati; Actinomycetota; Actinomycetes; Mycobacteriales; Corynebacteriaceae.